This 464-nucleotide ribosomal RNA is filed under the name uncultured bacterium. RNAcentral's name for it is "bacterial SSU rRNA". It matches the Rfam family "Bacterial small subunit ribosomal RNA", at positions 329 to 792 of the family's 1533-position model. The record is from RNAcentral.
UUCCAGACUCCUACGGGAGGCAGCAGUGAGGAAUAUUGGUCAAUGGGCGAGAGCCUGAACCAGCCAAGUCGCGUGAGGGAGUACUGCCCUAUGGGUUGUAAACCUCUUUUGUCGGGGAGCAAAAGCCGGACGUGUCCGUCUGUGAGAGUACCCGAAGAAAAAGCAUCGGCUAACUCCGUGCCAGCAGCCGCGGUAAUACGGAGGAUGCGAGCGUUAUCCGGAUUUAUUGGGUUUAAAGGGUGCGUAGGCGGGACGUUAAGUCAGCGGUAAAAAUGCGGAGCUCAACUCCGUCGAGCCGUUGAAACUGCCGUUCUUGAGUGAGCGAGAAGUAUGCGGAAUGCGUGGUGUAGCGGUGAAAUGCAUAGAUAUCACGCAGAACUCCGAUUGCGAAGGCAGCAUACCGGCGCUCAACUGACGCUGAAGCACGAAGGCGUGGGUAUCGAACAGGAUUAGAUACCCCAGUA